GACGAACGCUGGCGGCGUGCUUAACACAUGCAAGUCGAACGGAAAGGCCCUGCUUUUGUGGUGUGCUCGAGUGGCGAACGGGUGAGUAACACGUGAGUAACCUGCCCUUGACUUUGGGAUAACGUCAGGAAACUGGGGCUAAUAACGGAUAGGAGCUCCUGCUGCAUGGUGGGGGUGGGAAAGUUUCGGCGGUUGGGGAUGGACUCGCGGCUUAUCAGCUUGUUGGUGGGGUAGUGGCUUACCAAGGCUUUGACGGGUAGCCGGCCUGAGCGGGUGACCGGCCACAUUGGGACUGAGAUACGGCCCAGACUCCUACGGGAGGCAGCAGUGGGGAAUAUUGCACAAUGGGCGGAAGCCUGAUGCAGCAACGCCGCGUGCGGGAUGACGGCCUUCGGGUUGUAAACCGCUUUCGCCUGUGACGAAGCGUGAGUGACGGUAAUGGGUAAAGAAGCACCGGCUAACUACGUG
This 468-nucleotide ribosomal RNA is filed under the name uncultured bacterium. Its description in RNAcentral is "partial 16S ribosomal RNA". It matches the Rfam family "Bacterial small subunit ribosomal RNA", at positions 28 to 507 of the family's 1533-position model. The record is from RNAcentral.